Long non-coding RNA from Gallus gallus (chicken), 4167 nucleotides. The record is from Ensembl. Lineage: Eukaryota; Metazoa; Chordata; Aves; Galliformes; Phasianidae.
ACCAGAGUCUCCCUGGUGCAACUUGAAGCCAUUCCCUCUAGUUCUAUUACUAGUUACAUGGGAGAAGAGGCUCAGCCCCACCUCACCACAACCUCUCUUCAGGUAGCUGUAGAGAGUGAUAAGGUCUCCCCUGAGAAUUCUCUUUUCCAGCAUAAAUAAUUCCAGUUUCCUCAGCUGAUCCUCAUAAGGUUUGCACUUCAGACCCCUCAAUAGCUUCAUUGCCCUUCUCUGGACAUGCUCCAGGGCAUUGAUGUCUUUCUUGUAGUGAGAAGCCCAAGUACUCUAGGGGUGGCCUCACAAGGGCUAAAUACAGAGGGGCUCUGUAGAGUCUUCGUAUCUGCACGCAGAUUCCCAACUUGGUGUCAUCUGCAAACUGAUUGAGGGUGAACUCAAUCUCCUCAUCCAGGUCAUUAUUAAAGAUAGUGAACAGGACGGGCACCAAUACCAAUUCCUGGGGAACACCACUUGUGACCAAUUGUCAGUUGGAUUUAACUUCAUUCACCAUCACUCCCUGGGCACGGCCCUCCAGCCAGUUCUUUACCCAGCAAAGAGUACCUGUCCAAGCCAUGGGUUGCCAGCUUCCCCAGGAGACUUCUGUGGGAGACAGUGUCAAAGGCUUUGCUAAAGUCUAGGUAGACUACAUCAACAGCCUUUCCCUCACCCACCAAGCAGGUCACUUGAUCAUAGAAGGAGAUUGGGUCGGUCAAGCCUAGUCACAUCCUUCAUGAACCCUUGUUGGCUACUCCUGAUCCCCCAGCUGUCCCACUGGGACAAUCCUCUGGGACCUUGCCGGUUGAACAGGAAUGCUGAUAGAUGAUGGAAAGCACCUUGGCAACCACCUCCACCAGCUCCCUCAGCACCCUCAGACAGAUCCCAUCCAGCCCCAUGGACUUGUGGCAGUCCACGUGGAGUAGUAGGUCUCUGUUUCUACCUGAAUCAUGAGGGGUUUAUUCUGCUCCCCAUCUGAGACUUCCAGGUCAGAGGGUAGAGUAUCCCAAGGAGUCAUUCCUCAGGUCAGUUCUUCAUACGAAAAGCAGAGUUCACAGUUCUAGUGAUUGAUUCACAGACUAAUGCUAUUUUGCUUAACUGUUAGUUUGGAUAUAAUGCUGAUGGCCUUUGGACUAGCACCCUAUCAGAAACGUUGCAAUAUGACUCAUUAAUAUAGCAAAGCCAAGAGUGUUCCAAGAAACACUUUCAGUCCAUAAGUAGAGAAUGGCAUUUCUGUAGAUUCACAGCAGAGUGUGAAGGAUUGGAAGGGAUUAGCAAAAGCCUCUAGUCCACUUUCCUGAUCAAAACAGGUCCUACUAGAGCAGACUGUUGUAAGAGGUCACUCUUUUACGCCAUUGCCUCAAAGCUUGCUGAGGGACAAGAUGAACAAUUUCAAGCAAGUCCUGACCAAGGAUUGGGAAAUUCUUUGUCUGAAGGGACAACAGAUGGACAAGGCCAGGGGCAACGAGAGAGAGAUAAGUGGCAACUAAAUGGCCAGGAAACAGUCUUUUGUGUGGACUUAUCUCAAGGGAGACAGCCAUCUCAGGGGGUGCUCACAUGACUCUUACCAAGAGCCCAGGAAUGUCACGUAGGCAGGGAAGGAGGAUAAAAGAAGCUCCAAAAAACCAUGAAGGCAGGUUUCUGACAACAGAUUCCUCAUGACCUGGCUCUCCCUCCUGGACUUGCUCUGUGCUCUACCUGCUUGCUGCCUAAGGAUGGCCCCUCUGCUGCUGCUCUCCCCUGCGAGAAGGUGCCUGCCAUCAGAUCCCUCACUACGAAAGGCCUGCAUGCUGGCGGACUCUCCAGGGCCUGCUACCGGAGACCUGCUGCUUCCUCCUGGACUUCUUCCUGGACCUACUUGGUACCUGCACUCUCUUGCUGCCCAAGACCAGCCAUGCUGCUGCUGCUGCUCUUCCCCUGUGCUUUUGCCCCGGACCAUCGGAACAUUGUGCAAUGGGACAACUGCCGGAUCCUGGUGAGCCGAGGUCUGAGAAGAUUUGUAAGUCAGUGGAAUUUCUGCUUUGGAUGAAAUAACUCACGGUUGUAAAUCUAUGUGCUAGCACACUUCUUAAGCAAGAUACAGUACAGGGAAACUACAAAUAGUGUCUACGUUCCUUCUAUGUGGCUGAGAUUAGAAGACUGUUAACAAUAGAGAGUGGGAAAUCUGGGACUGGAACGUCAAGAACAAACCGCAGAAGAAGAGAUAUGAAGAUCCCAUCGGCCUUCUUGGCAACCUGGCACCCUGCUGGCUCAUUUUCAGCAAGUUGUUGACCAGCACCUCCAGGACUAUUUCUGUCAAGCAACGUGUGAACCAGCCUUCCCCAAGCUUCGUUGUUUUGUUGCUACCCAAGUGCAGCACAUGACACUUAGCCUUGUUGAAUGUCAUUUUUAUUGGAUUUGGCCCAUUGAUCUAGUCCAUCCAGAUCCCUCUGCAAAGACUUCCUACACUAAGGGAUAUUAGCAAUCCUGACUUACUCACUGUAGUCUGUGAACUUACUGAGGAUGUACUCAAUUCUCUCAUUCUGACCAUUGAUUAAAAUGUUAAACAAAAGUGGCUUAAAGAUUGAGCCCUGUGGAAUGCCACUGAUGACAAGUUACCAACUGGACUGAACUCCAUUUGCUAGAACUCUUUGAGUCUGGCCACUCAGCCACUUCUUUGCCCAGAGAACUGUACACCUGUCCAAGCUAUGUGCAGCCAGUUCUUAUUCAGGAGAAUUCCGUGAGAAACAGUUAUACACUUUGGUCAGUCAGGACUUUCCGUUCACAAACACAAGCUGACUUGUUCUGACCACUGAAUUGUCCCUUCUUUGCUGUAUGAUGGCAUUCAAGAUGAUCAGGCCUAGACUCAGUAUAUGUAGCUCCUUCUGGCAUGAAACAGGUCCAUACAUGAUUGAAGUUAGUUGUCAUAUGCCAGUUUUGUUCAUUUCCUGAUAUUCUUUUUCUCUUCACACUUCCGUGAGAAAUUUAAACCCAAAGGAUUUCUUGAAAUACUGUUCACAUCUGAAAACUGGAAGUCAAAUAAUAAAAAUAUCCUGUUUGAUAUGAGGUCAAUCAUUAACGUAGACAAGGAAAAUUCACAGAGAAGAAUGCUCAGUAUCAAUAAAUUGUCCAAACACUUUUAUAGAAUACACAAAAGUAUUUACGGGGGGGUUAUAAGGAAACAGCAAUCAUUUCUACAGUUGAUCCAUUGUUGUAAAAACGGCCAAAAGGAACAGCUGAGUGAAUAAUUUCGUCAACAUCCUUUCCUCCCCUACACACGAACAUAACCAACUGCAGUGUGUUGAGAAAGAUACUAAUUAUUCAGCCUGUGCAGUUUUGUUUAAGACAUCUGCAAAAUGGAAAUCAAUAAAACCUGAUGUUUUGGAAAAAAGAAUGUUCUAAGCUCUUUUGAACAUUUUUUUCUAACCAUAUUAACUGUGAGUAUGCAAGUUGGCAUAUCAUAUUAGAAAUGACUGGUUAGAUCAGUGAGGAAAGUGAUCUCUGUUUUUGCAGAUUUCUACAUUUGUAAAUGCAGUUUAAAAGAAGGAUAGCAUAUAAAAUUGGAAGACUUUCUUGUUUUUUUCUAAAUUAUGAAAUGAUACAUUAAAACAUAUUUUGUGGGCGCUGUUUACUACUGGGAAGGCAUGUAAUUAUUCUUUUUUUUUUUUUUUUAAUGAAACAUUCACUAAAUAGCUGUUAUAUUGAAUAAAUAAUACAAAACACCCAGAGAGUUGUAUCACAAUUGCAAAGUAAGCAUACUUUUGAUUAUAUUGCUUUAGAAGUGAUGGGAAAUAAAAUUGCUGAUAUUUCUCAAUAAUUAUGCGUCCCAUAGGUAUUUUCUUCUCCCUAAAACAGAGGAGUAAACAAAUGCACUGAGCCAUUACAUUUCUGUAAUGACUUGCAAAAUCUACUGCUAAGAAACUUUUUGGAAAAACUGUUGGGUAAUUGAGCAUAUUAGUCUGAAUGGAGAGCUCUGAUUCAAAAGUAUUUUAGAUCCGCUUUACGUAGUUACAGUGCAAGAGUAGAGAAUUCAGGACACUUUAAAAUCUCACAAAGAGUUACUCGUGGUAGCUGUACUUCCUUUUAAUAAAGAACAUGAUUUUCAAGGUAGUUGUAAUCAAAUAUCAUGGAUGUAAUUGAAAUGAGUUUGCAGCCUUAAGAGAUUAUUACAAGAAGUACAUUUGUAAAGAUUUAAUUCAG